This 405-nucleotide ribosomal RNA is filed under the name uncultured bacterium. Its description in RNAcentral is "bacterial SSU rRNA". It matches the Rfam family "Bacterial small subunit ribosomal RNA", at positions 28 to 428 of the family's 1533-position model. The record is from RNAcentral.
GACGAACGCUGGCGGCGUGCUUAACACAUGCAAGUCGAGCGAUAACCAUGGCUUCGGCCAUGGGGAGAGCGGCGAACGGGUGAGUAACACGUGAGUAAUCUGCCCUCGACACUGGGAUAGCCCGGGGAAACCCGGAUUAAUACCGGAUAGCCUCUCGAGCUUUCGGGCUCGUGAGAAAAGAUGGCUUCGGCUUUUCGGUUGAGGAGGAGCUUGCGGCGGAUUAGCUUGUUGGUGAGGAACGGCCCACCAAGGCGACGAUCCGUAGCUGGUCUGAGAGGACGAUCAGCCACACUGGGACUGAGACACGGCCCAGACUCCUACGGGAGGCAGCAGUGGGGAAUCUUGCGCAAUGGGCGAAAGCCUGACGCAGCGACGCCGCGUGAGGGAAGAAGGCCUCGGUUGUAA